CUUUCGCCCGAGGCGGGCUGCGGGCUGCUGGGGUCUGGUGCGGAGGGCCAACUUCUGGGAAUAACCUGGCUGUGGGCUUAAAAAUCGUAGUCAUUCAUUAUCACGGGCUUCUCUCUCUCGAAUACCUUUAACAUUUAUCGCCUUGUUAGUCUCCACAUCCACCUCCGUGAAAGAGAUGGAGUCUCGCUAUAUUUCCCAGUCUGGCCUCAAACUCCUGAUCUUAAGGGAUCCCCAGCUCAACCUCUCCCAGCAGCUGGGACUACCGGGCUGUCAAAUUUACAUUAACUAUGAGAAUUAAGCAGAAUCCGAAAGUCAUCUGAGUUGGCUAUCUGCACGUUCUCUCUGUACCAGUGAACUUGAACUGUGGCUGUGGCCUGGAUUCCGCAUUCAAACAUGACCAACUGACCUCUGGUUGUAGGGAUGUCUUGAAGAUGCUGAAGAACAAACACAGAGUUCAGAGGAUGGAAGAAACUGUUAUACCAUCUACAAUGAUUUGAAAUGCCAUUUGCAACUGCAGUUGACCGUGGGUUAUUGAAACCACAGAAAGUGAAACUGGAUAACGAAGGGAAACACUAUCCCAGCCUCAACAAGGAGCUUGAUUUGGGCACAGAAACAGGAGAAAGAGACCUGCCUUGCCUCCCUUAUCCAACCGGAAGUAUUCUUCUUCUUCUGUCUUCAAUUUAUUGCAUGAUCACAUUUAUUGCAUGGGUGGCUUCAGGAAGGAUUUUAGGGAUUCCUGGAAAUAAUCAGUCUUGAAAUACUCCCCUCUUCUUCCUUCAUCUAGGAUGCUUCCUCUUCUCUCAAUAUAUUCUCACUUAUGGGUAUAAAG
RNAcentral lists this long non-coding RNA (829 nucleotides) under Homo sapiens (human). RNAcentral describes it as "non-protein coding lnc-HNRNPA0-4:9". The record is from RNAcentral. Lineage: Eukaryota; Metazoa; Chordata; Mammalia; Primates; Hominidae.